UACAGAGGUCCCGAGCGUUGUUCGGAUUCAUUGGGCGUAAAGGGUGCGUAGGCGGCGCGGUAAGUCGGGUGUGAAAUCUCGGAGCUUAACUCCGAAACUGCAUUCGAUACUGCCGUGCUUGAGGACUGGAGAGGAGACUGGAAUUUACGGUGUAGCAGUGAAAUGCGUAGAUAUCGUAAGGAAGACCAGUGGCGAAGGCGAAUCUCUGGACAGUUACUGACACUGAGGCACGAAGGCCAGGGGAGCAAACGGG
This 253-nucleotide ribosomal RNA is filed under the name uncultured bacterium. Its description in RNAcentral is "partial 16S ribosomal RNA". It matches the Rfam family "Bacterial small subunit ribosomal RNA", at positions 524 to 776 of the family's 1533-position model. The record is from RNAcentral.